Molecule: long non-coding RNA, 1033 nt
Filed under: Equus asinus (donkey)
Lineage: Eukaryota; Metazoa; Chordata; Mammalia; Perissodactyla; Equidae
Description: lncRNA (ENSEASG00005036025.1)
Source: RNAcentral
AGAUGGAAUGAGGGCCUUGGACAUGCUGCAUUACAGCGUCGGCUAGUAUGGGUCCAGGUUGAGAAAAAACCCACCAACUGGAAAAUUGUCAAUUGCCAUGGCAGAAGAAAAGAGAGCUCUGUGGGUCUUGUGCCAACAGUUAAUGCCCCAGACCAGAAAUGACAUGCCAUUUCCAUUCAUAACUCACUGGCCAGAACAAGUCACGUAAUCCCACCUAACCACUAUGGAACUCAAGUUUCAGAGAGAAAAACUGGCUACGAGGAAGCAAGUCUGUUGACUAGUUCUAUUGACAUGAUCGCAUAUUCGUUACCUACUCAUGCAUUUAUUUAACAGAUAUUUGAAUAUCUGCUGGAUUGGUAGUGAACCUCGGGUUAUAGAGAUGAACAAGCAGGCAUGAUUCUUGCCCUUAUGGAGCUUACUUACAUUUGUUGGUAAAUUACCAUUAAAAGAGCAAUUACAGUGAAGGGGGAUAAGUAUUCUGAUAAGGAAAGAACAAGAUGCUUCAGUAUCAGCAAAGCAAGCAGUUUUCAUGCAUAUGGAUAAGAUAACUAGAGCUGUGAGCAUUUGACUGGGUCAAGGAGUCCAGAGCAAGUGCUAGGAAAGGAAAGCCAGGGCCUGUCUGUUCCUUGCUUCCCCUCCAUUUGCACCUUUGCUCAUUCCUGAAGGAAGCCCAAGAGAGGUGUUUAGCUAGCCCUGUCCAGUGGUGACCUUGACUCCACAUCUCUCGGGCAGGUGGCUGGAGGUUGCGUGGGAGUUUGCAUAUGUGGGCACACUGGCACGUGCACACAGGAUUCACGAAGGCAUUCAGUGCUGGCAUUCCCGGAACAGAGCCUGAGCUGGGUAGCAGGCCUGGGAACCAGCAGGCCCAUCUUGAUUUCUCCCUGAGGCGGUAAAACCGGACCAGUCAAGAGCCCAGGGCCACCCGAGUGAGUUUCCAUGGCUGCGAAGGUGGAAGAAGCAGGGAACUGUGGCUGGAAGGCACCACUUGAUGCUUCUUGCUCUCUUCCAGGUUCUCUGUGGGUGUUGGCACCAU